AUGGCAUGUUGAGGACAAUCGGUACAAAACUUCUUGAAUCUCUCCCAAGCUAGGUAAAAUUCUCAUCCUUGCGUUGUCGAAAACUUGUAAUCCUUUGUCUCCCCUU
RNAcentral lists this small nucleolar RNA (106 nucleotides) under Corchorus capsularis. RNAcentral describes it as "Plant small nucleolar RNA R71". It matches the Rfam family "Plant small nucleolar RNA R71". From Rfam's summary of the family: R71 is a member of the C/D box family of snoRNAs containing the C (UGAUGA) and D (CUGA) box motifs. Lineage: Eukaryota; Viridiplantae; Streptophyta; Magnoliopsida; Malvales; Malvaceae. The record is from Rfam by way of RNAcentral.